This 869-nucleotide ribosomal RNA is filed under the name uncultured bacterium. RNAcentral's name for it is "bacterial SSU rRNA". It matches the Rfam family "Bacterial small subunit ribosomal RNA", at positions 28 to 896 of the family's 1533-position model. The record is from RNAcentral.
GAUGAGCGCUAGCGGCAGGCCUAAUACAUGCAAGACGAACGGUAAGUUGAGUAGCAAUACUUGACCUAGAGUGUCGCACGGGUGCGUAACACGUAUGCAACCUACCCAUAACAGGAGGAUAGCUCCCCGAAAGGGGAAUUAACCCUCCAUAGUAAUAUUGGAUGGCAUCAUUUGAUAUUUAAAACUGAGGUGGUUAUGGAUGGGCAUGCGUCUGAUUAGUUAGUUGGCGGUGUAACGGACCACCAAGACGAUGAUCAGUAGGGGAACUGAGAGGUUGAUCCCCCACACUGGCACUGAGAUACGGGCCAGACUCCUACGGGAGGCAGCAGUAGGGAAUAUUGGUCAAUGGAUGGAAGUCUGAACCAGCCAUGCCGCGUGCAGGAAGAAGGCCUUAUGGGUUGUAAACUGCUUUUGCCAGGGGAUAAAAUAGCUGUGCGCAGCGGAUUGCAGGUACCUGGUGAAUAAGCCACGGCUAACUACGUGCCAGCAGCCGCGGUAAUACGUAGGUGGCAAGCGUUGUCCGGAUUUAUUGGGUUUAAAGGGUGCGUAGGCGGCCUUGUAAGUCAGUGGUGAAAUACUCCAGCUUAACUGGAGGGGUGCCAUUGAUACUGCAGGGCUUGAGUAAAGUUGAAGUUGGCGGAAUUGACGGUGUAGCGGUGAAAUGCUUAGAUAUCGUCAAGAACACCGAUAGUGAAGACAGCUAACUAAGCUUUAACUGACGCUGAGGCACGAAAGUGUGGGGAUCAAACAGGAUUAGAUACCCUGGUAGUCCACACUGUAAACGUUGAUGACUCGCUGUUGGCGAUACACUGCCAGCGGCCAAGCGCAAGCGAUAAGUCAUCCACCUGGGGAGUACGCCGGCAACAGUG